UAGACAUGGACGAAAAUAAAAAUAUACUAAAAAAAAUUCGCCGGGUAGAGAUGUAAAGAUAAAAAAAGGGCGAAGUGUAUAUGUAGCAGUGCACAAAGAACAUCUCGUCAUCCAUCUUUGCAAAUCGGAUAAAUUACGUCGGAGAGCUUAACGAAAAUCAGUCUGAAAGCUUAUCGAUACACAUAAAUGAAUAAUCGUUAUACAUUGGCGAAUAAAACCGAGAGUAUUAAACUUUAUAGGAACAAGGUUCCGGUCACUCACCUUCUUUACGAAGAUACGUUUACAGACCUCCUGGUCGACAACUCUUAUAGCGAACAAACCACCGGGGAAUAGAGGUGAAUGACACUUGAGUCUACAGUUGGACACAUCUUAUGCUAGGAAGAGAAGUCUGCAUUAUCAUUUCAAAGUCGACAGAUAAAAGAAAAAAGGCAUGUGUUAAUACAAAAACAACUAAAUAACCCAAGGCCACCGGGCUCAUUCUGUGGACCUACUACCCAAUCAAUAUAAGAAUGCCGGAAAUAGCGUCUCCCGGUCAGAUAUUGAUCCGAAGGAAGUCUGCUAGGAUGUCUUGCUUUAAUUGCGUAGAAUUUCUGCUUCCCAGAACUCCUCUAUAUUGGGAAAUUCUAUUGGAAGAUGAAGUAGUGCGGUCUAGGAUGAAGGAGAGCUGUCUUCCAAAUGUGUUUUCCAAAAAAGAUGCUGCAGGCCAAGCUGAUAAACAGAAAUCUUUUAUUUUUCUUCUACACUAG
This 746-nucleotide long non-coding RNA is filed under the name Androctonus crassicauda. Lineage: Eukaryota; Metazoa; Arthropoda; Arachnida; Scorpiones; Buthidae. The record is from RNAcentral.